CCUACGGGAGGCAGCAGUGGGGAAUAUUGGGCAAUGGAGGAAACUCUGACCCAGCGACGCCGCGUGCGGGAUGAAGACCUUCGGGUUGUAAACCGCCUUCAGUAGGGAAGAAGCGAAAGUGACGGUACCUACAGAAGAAGCACCGGCUAACUAUGUGCCAGCAGCCGCGGUAAUACAUAGGGUGCAAGCGUUGUCCGGAAUUAUUGGGCGUAAAGAGCUCGUAGGUGGUUCGUCACGUCGGAUGUGAAAAUCUGGGGCUCAACCCCAGACCUGCAUUCGAUACGGGCGAUCUAGAGUGUGGUAGGGGAGACUGGAAUUCCUGGUGUAGCGGUGGAAUGCGCAGAUAUCAGGAGGAACACCAAUGGCGAAGGCAGGUCUCUGGGCCAUUACUGACACUGAGGAGCGAAAGCGUGGGGAGCGAACAGGAUUAGAUACCCUGGUAGUCCACGCAGUAAACGGUGGGCACUAGUUGUGGGAACCUUCCACGGUUUCUGCGACGCAGCUAACGCAUUAAGUGCCCCGCCUGGGGAGUACGAUCGCAAGAUUAAAACUCAAAGGAAUUGACGGCUGAGACGNGCGACGACGACGACGAGGGAGAGG
RNAcentral lists this ribosomal RNA (600 nucleotides) under uncultured bacterium. RNAcentral's name for it is "bacterial SSU rRNA". It matches the Rfam family "Bacterial small subunit ribosomal RNA", at positions 338 to 956 of the family's 1533-position model. The record is from RNAcentral.